CACACUGUAAACGAUGAUAACUCGCUGUCGGCGAUACACAGUCGGUGGCCAAGCGAAAGCAUUAAGUUAUCCACCUGGGGAGUACGACCGCAAGGUUGAAACUCAAAGGAAUUGACGGGGGCCCGCACAAGCGGAGGAACAUGUGGUUUAAUUCGAUGAUACGCGAGGAACCUUACCCGGGCUUGAAAUGCAUCUGACCGGCAAAGAGAUUUGCUUUUUCCUCGGAACGGAUGCGUAGGUGC
RNAcentral lists this ribosomal RNA (242 nucleotides) under uncultured Rikenella sp. RNAcentral describes it as "partial 16S ribosomal RNA". It matches the Rfam family "Bacterial small subunit ribosomal RNA", at positions 796 to 1041 of the family's 1533-position model. Lineage: Bacteria; Pseudomonadati; Bacteroidota; Bacteroidia; Bacteroidales; Rikenellaceae. The record is from RNAcentral.